AUGGGCGGGUUUCUAGAGCAGUGGUCACCUCCACUGUUUUGGAAAUUCACCUCUGAACAGCUCCAAAAUCCUAAAAAACUGGUAGAAUGCUUGAAAAAAGGGUGUCAUGACUCUGGCAAUUCCAAAGAGACACAAAUCACUGUAGCACGCUGGGGUCUGGCCUAUGCCUAUCGAGCUGCAAUCGAUGCUACUGUCAACCUAGUGACAGACCCCGCGGCCACUCCAAGUCCUGUGACAGGCCCAACGACCACUCCAACCCCUACGAUGGACCCUGCAGCCGCUCCAACUCCCGCAGCCGUUCCAGCUCCCGCAGCCGUUCCAGUUCCCGCAGCCGUUCCAGCUCCUGCAGCCGUUCCAGCUCCUGCAGCCGCUCCAGCUCCCGCAGCCGUUCCAGCUCCCGCAGCCGUUCCAGCUCCUGCAGCUGCUCCAACCCCUGUGAUGGGCCCAGCAUGUUAUCCAACUCCUGUGGCAGGCCCUGUGGCUGGGUCAGAGAAACGAGCUUUAGCAGUGCAAGUUGCCCCUGUAGACAAGGUGAAAAGAUGGUAUAGAGAUUCACGUCGUUUAGAACGCAGACAGUCUUCUGCUAGGUCUAGUUAUAGAGAAGACGAUGCUGGGCCAUCAGAGGUGCAGGAGGAUGAAGACGAGGAUGUCAAAAAAUCAACAGUAAUUACCCGAAACCUAUACCAGCAUGAGCUACGAGAUGUACGGAAAGAUUCUGGUCGCUGCAUAAGAGAGCAGCUUGUCACCUGGCUGCUCCGGUGCUGGGACACCGGAGCCAAUUGUGUGGAAUUAGAGGGCAAGGAAGCCAGGCGGCUGGGAUCCCUUGCUAGAGACGCAGGCAUUGACAAAGCAAUUGGAAAUGGAGCACGAUCUCGCAGCCUCUGGAGGCGUCUCCUGUCAGCUGUGCAGGAAAGGUAUCCCUUCAAGGAAGAACUUGUAUAUCUAGCAGGCAAGUGGACCACUAUGGAGAAGGGAAUCCAGUACCUGAGGGAAUUCUCUCCCCCAUCCCAGAGAGGGAGGGAGGAGGGUGAGCAAAAGGCUGUGUGGUGUUUAGCUGCUGACCGGGUUAAACCACAACAGCCAGACAGACAAGUGGAGAGGAGUAUCCAGUACCUGAGGGAAUUAGCUGUAUGGGAGGUGAUUUAUAGGGACCUAGACAACGAACAAAUAUCCACAGAUCCAGAUGAAGUCAAGUGUACAUGA
This 1203-nucleotide long non-coding RNA is filed under the name Anser brachyrhynchus (Pink-footed goose). RNAcentral's name for it is "lncRNA (ENSABRG00000017563.1)". The record is from RNAcentral. Lineage: Eukaryota; Metazoa; Chordata; Aves; Anseriformes; Anatidae.